Molecule: long non-coding RNA, 999 nt
Filed under: Capsicum annuum
Lineage: Eukaryota; Viridiplantae; Streptophyta; Magnoliopsida; Solanales; Solanaceae
Description: long non-coding RNA (CANN_LNC000586)
Source: RNAcentral
ACAAGUGGUCGUGGCGAGAGAAGUGGCAGAUGAGGGAAACGAGUUACAAAUAAUACCCCCAUGGGAUAUCCCAUGUUAUUUGCCGUGGCCAUUCCCCUGGCCACGACCAUGGCCAUGCCCUCCUCCACGACCACGACCACGACCACGACCUCGACCGCGCCCAUGCCCACCGCCACCUCCUCCACCAUGUCCUCCACCACCUCCACCUCCGCGCUCACCACCACCUCCACCUCCGCGCUCGCCACCGCCUCCACCACCAAGAUCACCCCCUCCUACACCGUUUUCGGGGUGCUCUAUUAGUGACCAACAAAAGGUGAAGAAAUGCAUGUUCAACACAACUUCAAUUGAUGCAUGUUGUCCGACAUUCAAGAGCAUACUUGGCACUAGUUGUCCUUGCUAUAAGUAUGCUGAGGAUUUAGACAAUCAAGUCUUGAUCACUCUUGAAGCUUAUUGUGAUGUCGAUAGCCCUUGUAGUGGUGUGCCGGUAAGUUAUUGUUUUUAGCCAUCUUUUAAUUAAGAUCGUUGACACGUACUUUAAGAAAAUUACUGUCUACAAUCAUUUUUAUAAAAUUCUACUAUUUGAGUAUAUGGGAACAUUUUCUUGAAAGGGUGGAAGUACUCAAGAAUUAAAAAAUUUAUAUUUGCUUAAUUUUUUUUAAAUGAUAAAUAUUUUGAUACGAUAUUUUAGCUAAUGUGACUAAUAAAAGUGACUAAAAGAGUAUGUGAAGUAAUUAUUUCAUAUUUAUGAAUACAGAGUCCCCCUCCUCCGGUGACUCCCACCCCGUUUUCGGAUAGUUGCUCAGCUAGUGACAAAGAAAAAGUGAAGACGUGCAUGUUCAACACAACUUCAAUUGACGCAUGCUGCCCAAUAUUCAAGAGCAUACUUGGCACUAGUUGUCCUUGCUAUAAGUAUGCUGAGGAUUUGGAUAAUCUAACCUUGAUCACUCUUGAAUCUUAUUGUGAUGUCGAUAGCCCUUGUACUGGUUUGCGUGCAAGUAA